RNAcentral lists this ribosomal RNA (207 nucleotides) under uncultured bacterium. Its description in RNAcentral is "partial 16S ribosomal RNA". It matches the Rfam family "Bacterial small subunit ribosomal RNA", at positions 568 to 774 of the family's 1533-position model. The record is from RNAcentral.
UGCGCAGGCGGUUAUGUAAGACAGAUGUGAAAUCCCCGGGCUCAACCUGGGAACUGCAUUUGUGACUGCAUGGCUAGAGUACGGUAGAGGGGGAUGGAAUUCCGCGUGUAGCAGUGAAAUGCGUAGAUAUGCGGAGGAACACUGAUGGCGAAGGCAAUCCCCUGGACCUGUACUGACGCUCAUGCACGAAAGCGUGGGGAGCAAACA